Long non-coding RNA from Anopheles funestus (African malaria mosquito), 1937 nucleotides. RefSeq lists it as uncharacterized. NCBI's taxonomy places the organism in Eukaryota, Metazoa, Arthropoda, Insecta, Diptera, Culicidae. The record is from RefSeq and is a predicted model, not a curated record. The transcript has 4 exons.
CUACUUUGACCGAAAUCAUCAUCUUUGGUUGCAAACUUCCAGUUUCCACCAACUUUGACCAAAAACAUCUACUUUGACCGAAAUCAUCAUCUUUGGUUGCAAACUUCCAUUUCCCACCAACUUUGACCAAAAACAUCUACUUUGACCGAAAUCAUCAUCUUUGGUUGCAAACUUCCAGUUUCCACCAACUUUGACCAAAAACAUCUACUUUGACCGAAAUCAUCAUCUUUGGUUGGAAACUUCCAGUUUCCACCAACUUUGACCAAAAACAUCAACUUUGACCGAAAUCAUCAUCUUUGGUUGCAAACUUCCAGUUUCCACCAACUUUGAUCAAAAACAUCAACUUUGACCAAAAACAUCAACUUUGACCGAAAACAUCAACUUUGGUCGCAAAAUUCAUGUUUCCACCAACUUUGACCAAAAACAUCAACUUUGACCGAAAACAUCAACUUUGGUCGCAAACCUCGAGUUUCCACCAACUUUGAUCAAAAACAUCAACUUUGACCGAAAUCAUCAUCUUUGGUUGCAAACUUCCAGUUUCCACCAACUUUGACCAAAAACAUCUACUUUUGACCGAAAUCAUCAACUUUGGUUGCAAACUUCAAGUUUCCACCAACUUUGACCAAAAACAUCAACUUUGACCAAAAACAUCAACUUUGACCGAAAACAUCAACUUUGGUCGCAAAAUUCAUGUUUCCACCAACUUUGGCCAAAAACAUCUACUUUGACCGAAAACAUCAACUUUGGUCGCAAACCUCGAGUUUCCACCAACUUUGAUCAAAAACAUCAACUUUGACCGAAAUCAUCAUCUUUGGUUGCAAACUUCCAGUUUCCACCAACUUUGACCAAAAACAUCAACUUUGACCGAAAUCAUCUUCUUUGGUUGCAAACUUCCAGUUUCCACCAACUUUGAUCAAAAACAUUUACUUUGACCAAAAACAUCAACUUUGACCGAAAACAUCAACUUUGGUCGCAAAAUUCAUGUUUCCACCAACUUUGACCAAAAACAUCAACUUUGACCGAAAACAUCAACUUUGGUCGCAAACCUCGAGUUUCCACCAACUUUGAUCAAAAACAUCAACUUUGACCGAAAUCAUCAUCUUUGGUUGCAAACUUCCAGUUUCCACCAACUUUGACCAAAAACAUCUACUUUGACCGAAAUCAUCAACUUUGGUUGCAAACUUCAAGUUUCCACCAACUUUGACCAAAAACAUCAACUUUGACCAAAAACAUCAACUUUGACCGAAAACAUCAACUUUGGUCGCAAAAUUCAUGUUUCCACCAACUUUGACCAUAAACAUCAACUUUGACCGAAAACAUCAACUUUUUUCGCAAACCUCGAGUUUCCACCAACUUUGAUCAAAAACAUCAACUUUGACCGAAAUCAUCAUCUUUGGUUGCAAACUUCCAGUUUCCACCAACUUUGACCAAAAACAUCAACUUUGACCGAAAACAUCAACUUUGGUUGCAAACUUCCAGUUUCCACCAACUUUGACCAAAAACAUCAACUUUGACCAAAAACAUCAACUUUGACCGAAAACAUCAACUUUGACCGAAAACAUCAACUUUGGUCGCAAAAUUCAUGUUUCCACCAACUUUGACCAAAAACAUCUACUUUGACCGAAAACAUCAACUUUGGUCGCAAACCUCGAGUUUCCACCAACUUUGAUCAAAAACAUCAACUUUGACCGAAAUCAUCAUCUUUGGUUGCAAGCUUCCAGUUUCCACCAACUUUGACCAAAAACAUCUACUUUGACCGAAAUCAUCAUCUUUGGUUGCAAACUUCCAGUUUCCACCAACUUUGACCAAAAACAUCAACUUUGACCGAAAACAUCAACUUUGGUUGUAAACUUCAAGUUUCCACCAACAUUGACCAAAAACAUCAACUUUGACCGAAAACAUCAACUUUGGUCGCAAAAUUCAUGUUUCCACCAAUU